UUAAAGGAAUUGACGGGGGCCCGCACAAGCGGAGGAACAUGUGGUUUAAUUCGAUGAUACGCGAGGAACCUUACCUGGGCUUAAAUGUAGACUGCAUAGCGUGGAAACAUGCUUUUCCUUCGGGACUGUUUACAAGGUGCUGCAUGGUUGUCGUCAGCUCGUGCCGUGAGGUGUCGGGUUAAGUCCCAUAACGAGCGCAACCCUUAUCGUUAGUUGCCAGCGGGUAAUGCCGGGGACUCUAGCGAAACUGCCGGUGUAAACCGAGAGGAAGGUGGGAUGACGUCAAAUCAGCACGGCCCUUAUGUCCAGGGCUACACACGUGUUACAAUGGCCGGUACAGAGGGCAGCUACUGGGUGACCAGAUGCAAAUCUCGAAAGCCGGUCUCAGUUCGGAUCGGAGUCUGCAACUCGACUCCGUGAAGCUGGAUUCGCUAGUAAUCGCGCAUCAGCCAUGGCGCGGUGAAUACGUUCCCGGGCCUU
This 480-nucleotide ribosomal RNA is filed under the name uncultured Sphingobacteriales bacterium. RNAcentral describes it as "bacterial SSU rRNA". It matches the Rfam family "Bacterial small subunit ribosomal RNA", at positions 901 to 1382 of the family's 1533-position model. Lineage: Bacteria; Pseudomonadati; Bacteroidota; Sphingobacteriia; Sphingobacteriales. The record is from RNAcentral.